This 330-nucleotide ribosomal RNA is filed under the name uncultured eukaryote. Its description in RNAcentral is "partial 18S ribosomal RNA". It matches the Rfam family "Eukaryotic small subunit ribosomal RNA", at positions 1470 to 1796 of the family's 1831-position model. The record is from RNAcentral.
CCCUUAGAUGUUCUGGGCCGCACGCGUGCUACACUGAUGCAUUCAACGAGUCUAAAACCUGGUCUGAUAGGGCUGGGUAAUCUUUUGAAAGUGCAUCGUGAUUGGGAUAGAUGAUUGCAAUUCUUCAUCUUCAACGAGGAAUACCUAGUAAACGCAAGUCAUCAGCUUGCAUUGAUUACGUCCCUGCCCUUUGUACACACCGCCCGUCGCUCCUACCGAUUGAAUGAUCCGAUGAAUACCAUGGAUUGAGAGUACGAAUAGGUUCGCUUAUUUCUGCUGCUCGAGAAGUGGAGUAAAUCUUAUCAUUUAGAGGAAGGAGAAGUCGUAACA